Molecule: ribosomal RNA, 468 nt
Filed under: uncultured bacterium
Lineage: Bacteria
Description: partial 16S ribosomal RNA
Rfam family: Bacterial small subunit ribosomal RNA
Source: RNAcentral
GACGAACGCUGGCGGCGUGCUUAACACAUGCAAGUCGAACGGAAAGGCCCUGCUUUUGUGGGGUGCUCGAGUGGCGAACGGGUGAGUAACACGUGAGUAACCUGCCCUUGACUUUGGGAUAACUUCAGGAAACUGGGGCUAAUACAGGAUAGGAGCUCCUGCUGCAUGGUGGGGGUUGGAAAGUUUCGGCGGUUGGGAAUGGACUCGCGGCUUAUCAGCUUGUUUGUGGGGUAGUGGCUUACCAAGUCUGUGACGGGUAGCCGGCAUGUGAGGGUGAACGGCCACAAUGGGCCUGAGGUAGGGACCAGACGCGAACGGGAGGCAACAGGGGAGAGUAUUACACAAUGGGCCGAAGUCUGAUGCAACAACGCCGCGUGCGUGAUGACCGCCUUCUGGUUAUAAACAGCUUUCGCCUGUGACGAAGCGGGAGUGACGGUAAUGGGUAAAGAAGCACCGGCUAACUACGUG